AAUACGACUCUCGGCAACGGAUAUCUCGGCUCUCGCAUCGAUGAAGAACGUAGCGAAAUGCGAUACUUGGUGUGAAUUGCAGAAUCCCGUGAACCAUCGAGUCUUUGAACGCAAGUUGCGCCCGAAGCCGUCAGGCCGAGGGCACGUCUGCCUGGGCGUCACGCA
Molecule: ribosomal RNA, 165 nt
Filed under: Ipomoea batatas (sweet potato)
Lineage: Eukaryota; Viridiplantae; Streptophyta; Magnoliopsida; Solanales; Convolvulaceae
Also listed under: 3 other names
Description: 5.8S ribosomal RNA
Rfam family: 5.8S ribosomal RNA
About the family: 5.8S ribosomal RNA (5.8S rRNA) is a component of the large subunit of the eukaryotic ribosome. It is transcribed by RNA polymerase I as part of the 45S precursor that also contains 18S and 28S rRNA.
Source: RNAcentral